ACGGAUAUGAUGAAAUUGGUAGACAUGUUAGAUUUAGAUUCUAAUGAUAAGUAAAUCGUGAGGGUUCAAAUCCCUCUAUCCGCA
RNAcentral lists this transfer RNA (84 nucleotides) under Gracilaria tenuistipitata var. liui. RNAcentral's name for it is "tRNA-Leu". It matches the Rfam family "tRNA". From Rfam's summary of the family: Transfer RNA (tRNA) molecules are approximately 80 nucleotides in length. Their secondary structure includes four short double-helical elements and three loops (D, anti-codon, and T loops). The record is from RNAcentral. Lineage: Eukaryota; Rhodophyta; Florideophyceae; Gracilariales; Gracilariaceae. RNAcentral also lists the same sequence under 1 other name.